This 548-nucleotide ribosomal RNA is filed under the name uncultured Glomeromycotina. RNAcentral's name for it is "SSU rRNA". It matches the Rfam family "Eukaryotic small subunit ribosomal RNA", at positions 548 to 1098 of the family's 1831-position model. The record is from RNAcentral. Lineage: Eukaryota; Fungi; Glomeromycota.
UUGGAGGGCAAGUCUGGUGCCAGCAGCCGCGGUAAUUCCAGCUCCAAUAGCGUAUAUUAAAGUUGUUGCAGUUAAAAAGCUCAUAGUUGAAUUUCGGGAUCAAAUUGUCGGUCGUGCCUCGGUACGAACUGGUAUUAUUGGUUCCUCCCUUCUGAAGAACCGCGAUGUCAUUAAUUUGGUGUCGUGGGGAAUCAGGACCGUUACUUUGAAAAAAUUAGAGUGUUUAAAGCAGGCUUACGCUUGAAUACAUUAGCAUGGAAUAAUGAAAUAGGACGUUUGAUUCUAUUUUGUUGGUUUCUAGGAUCGACGUAAUGAUUAAUAGGGAUAGUUGGGGGCACUAGUAUUCAAUUGUCAGAGGUGAAAUUCUUGGAUUUAUUGAAGACUAACUACUGCGAAAGCAUUUGCCAAGGAUGUUUUCAUUAAUCAAGAACGAAAGUUAGGGGAUCGAAGACGAUCGGAUACCGUCGUAGUCUUAACCAUAAACUAUGCCGACUAGGGAUCGGAUGAUGUUAAUUUUUUAAUGACUCAUUCGGCGCCUUACGGGAAAC